RNAcentral lists this ribosomal RNA (364 nucleotides) under Eleutherodactylus rufifemoralis (red-legged robber frog). Its description in RNAcentral is "partial 12S ribosomal RNA". It matches the Rfam family "Bacterial small subunit ribosomal RNA", at positions 871 to 1384 of the family's 1533-position model. Lineage: Eukaryota; Metazoa; Chordata; Amphibia; Anura; Eleutherodactylidae. The record is from RNAcentral.
GUCAGGGAAUUACGAGCAAAGCUUAAAACCCAAAGGACUUGACGGUGCCCCAUAUCCCCCUAGAGGAGCCUGUCCUAUAAUCGAUACUCCACGUUUAACCUCACCAUAUCUAGCUUUUUCAGCCUGUAUACUUCCGUCGUAAGCCUACCACGUGAGCGACACAUAGUCAGCCUAAUGUCCGCACACUCAUGUGCUCAUACCGUCAAUACGUCAGGUCAAAGUGCAGCAAAUGUUAUGGGAAGAGAUGGGCUACACUUUUUAAUAUAAAAGAAACGAAUAAACAAAAUGAAACUUUGUUAUAGAAGGUGGAUUUAGAAGUAAAAGGAAAACAUUAUAUUCCUUUUAACCCGGCACUGGGGUGUGU